UCAUCAGCAUGAGCUCCUCACUG
RNAcentral lists this non-coding RNA (23 nucleotides) under Cricetulus griseus (Chinese hamster). Lineage: Eukaryota; Metazoa; Chordata; Mammalia; Rodentia; Cricetidae. The record is from RNAcentral.